AGGCGACGAUCUGUAGCUGGUCUGAGAGGACGACCAGCCACACUGGGACUGAGACACGGCCCAGACUCGUACGGGAGGCAGCAGUGGGGAAUUUUGGACAAUGGGCGAAAGCCUGAUCCAGCAAUGCCGCGUGUGUGAAGAAGGCCUUCGGGUUGUAAAGCACUUUUGUCCGGAAAGAAAACCUCCGCCCUAAUAUGGUGGGGGGAUGACGGUACCGGAAGAAUAAGCACCGGCUAACUACGUGCCAGCAGCCGCGGUAAUACGUAGGGUGCAAGCGUUAAUCGGAAUUACUGGGCGUAAAGCGUGCGCAGGCGGUCCGCUAAGACAGAUGUGAAAUCCCCGGGCUUAACCUGGGAACUGCAUUUGUGACUGGCGGGCUAGAGUAUGGCAGAGGGGGGUAGAAUUCCACGUGUAGCAGUGAAAUGCGUAGAGAUGUGGAGGAAUACCGAUGGCGAAGGCAGCCCCCUGGGCCAAUACUGACGCUCAUGCACGAAAGCGUGGGGAGCAAACAGGAUUAGAUACCCUGGUAGUCCACGCCCUAAACGAUGUCAACUAGUUGUCGGGUCUUCAUUGACUUGGUAACGUAGCUAACGCGUGAAGUUGACCGCCUGGGGAGUACGGUCGCAAGAUUAAAACUCAAAGGAAUUGACGGGGACCCGCACAAGCGGUGGAUGAUGUGGAUUAAUUCGAUGCAACGCGAAAAACCUUACCUACCCUUGACAUGUAUGGAACCUGGCUGAGAGGUCAGGGUGCCCGAAAGGGAGCCAUAACACAGGUGCUGCA
This 783-nucleotide ribosomal RNA is filed under the name Paraburkholderia sp. RNAcentral describes it as "bacterial SSU rRNA". It matches the Rfam family "Bacterial small subunit ribosomal RNA", at positions 271 to 1045 of the family's 1533-position model. Lineage: Bacteria; Pseudomonadati; Pseudomonadota; Betaproteobacteria; Burkholderiales; Burkholderiaceae. The record is from RNAcentral.